Molecule: small nuclear RNA, 103 nt
Filed under: Microcebus murinus (gray mouse lemur)
Lineage: Eukaryota; Metazoa; Chordata; Mammalia; Primates; Cheirogaleidae
Source: RNAcentral
GUGCUAUGGCAGCACAUAAACUAAAAUUGGAAUGAUAUGGAGACGAUUAGUGUGGCCCCUGUUUUAACAAGAAAAAAAAAAGAAAUAAUAUUAACCCCAAAUU